RNAcentral lists this ribosomal RNA (1960 nucleotides) under human gut metagenome. RNAcentral's name for it is "bacterial LSU rRNA". It matches the Rfam family "Bacterial large subunit ribosomal RNA", at positions 1 to 1984 of the family's 2925-position model. The record is from RNAcentral.
UCAAGCAGAAGACGGCAUACGAGAUAAGGCCACGUGACUGGAGUUCAGACGUGUGCUCUUCCGAUCUUGCGAUAAGCUUCGGGGAGUUGCACGUAAACUUUGAUCCGAAGAUUUCCGAAUGAGGAAACUCACUUAGAGUAAUGUCUAAGUAUCGUAUGAUGAAUACAUAGUCAUGCGAGGGGAACCCGGAGAACUGAAACAUCUAAGUACCCGGAGGAAGAGAAAGAAAUUCGAUUCCGUAAGUAGCGGCGAGCGAACGCGGAACAGGCCAAACCAGUGAAGUUUUCUUCGCUGGGGUUGCGGACAUAUCAUAACGAAGAGGUAUCGUAGAAGAAGAGAGUUGGAAAGCUCCGCCAUAGAUGGUAACAGCCCAGUAUUUUAAACGAGAAGACUUUAGAUAUGAUCCAGAGUACCACGGGACACGUGAAACCCUGUGGGAAGCAGGAGGGACCAUCCUCCAAGCCUAAAUACUACCUAGUGACCGAUAGCGUAUAGUACCGUGAGGGAAAGGUGAAAAGAACCCCGGGAGGGGAGUGAAAGAGAACCUGAAACCCUGCACUUACAAGCUGUAGGAGCACAUUAUUUGUGUGACUGCGUACUUUUUGUAGAACGGGCCAACGAGUUACGUUGUGUAGCAAGGUUAAGCACUUAAGGUGUGGAGCCGUAGCGAAAGCGAGUCUUAAAUGGGCGUCCAGUUACCCGACGUAGACCCGAAACCAGGCGACCUAUCCAUGAGCAGGUUGAAGCGAAAGUAAAAUUUCGUGGAGGACCGAACCCACGUACGUUGAAAAGUGCGGGGAUGACUUGUGGAUAGCGGUGAAAUUCCAAUCGAGCCUGGAGAUAGCUGGUUCUCCCCGAAAUAGCUUUAGGGCUAGCCUCAAGCUUAGAGAAACGGAGGUAGAGCACUGAAUGUCCUAGGGGGUAUUGCACUUACCGAAGACUAUCAAACUCCGAAUGCCGUAUUCUUUUGCUUGGGAGUCAGACUAUGGGUGAUAAGAUUCAUAGUCAAGAGGGCAACAGCCCAGAUCGUCAGCUAAGGUCCCUAAAUGUAAGUUAAGUGGUAAAGGAUGUGGAAUUGCACAGACAACCAGGAUGUUGGCUUAGAAGCAGCCACUCAUUUAAAGAGUGCGUAAUAGCUCACUGGUCGAGUGAUUCUGCGCCGAAAAUUUCCGGGGCUAAAACUUACUACCGAAGCUACGGCAUCAUUAUGAUGGGUAGGGGAGCUUUCUAUGCGGCUUGAAGCAUGACCGUAAGGACAUGUGGACUGCAUAGAAGUGAGAAUGUUGGCAUGAGUAGCGAGAUGUGGGUGAGAAUCCCACAGGCCGUAAACCCAAGGUUUCCAGGGGAAGGUUCGUCCGCCCUGGGUUAGUCAGGACCUAAGCCGAGGCCGAAAGGCGUAGGUGAUGGACAACAGGUUGAUAUUCCUGUACCACCAAUAACCGUUUGAGAAAUGGGAUGACACAGUAGGAUAAGCUAACCGCACUGUUGGUUAUGUGCGGGCAAGUAUUGAGGCAGUUCCGAUAGGCAAAUCCGUCGGAAUAAUGCUGGGGUACGAUGCGGAGCGAAAUUUAGUAGCGAAGUAGCUGAUUUCACACUGUCGAGAAAAGUCUCUAUCGAGGUUAAAGGUGCCUGUACCGCAAACCGACACAGGUGGGUGAGGAGAGUAUCCUAAGGCCAGCGAGAGAACUGUUGUUAAGGAACUCGGCAAAAUGACCCCGUAACUUAGGGAGAAGGGGUGCCUUCGAAAGAAGGCCGCAGAGAAUAGGCCCAAGCGACUGUUUACCAAAAACAUAGGUUUCUGCUAAGUCGCAAGACGAUGUAUAGGAGCUGACGCCUGCCCGGUGCUGGAAGGUUAAGGGGAUCUGUUAGAGCAAUCGAAGCAGUGAACUUAAGCCCCAGUAAACGGCGGCCGUAACUAUAACGGUCCUAAGGUAGCGAAAUUCCUUGUCGGGUAAGUUCC